GGCAAGAUGGCGGAGUGGUUAACGCGACAGCCUGCUAAGCUGUUCUCUUCGGAGGCCAGGGUUCGAAUCCCUGUCUUGUCG
Molecule: non-coding RNA, 81 nt
Organism: Onygenales sp. PD_40
Lineage: Eukaryota; Fungi; Ascomycota; Eurotiomycetes; Onygenales
Source: the annotation of a GenBank genome assembly